This is a long non-coding RNA of Harpegnathos saltator (Jerdon's jumping ant), 340 nucleotides long. RefSeq lists it as uncharacterized. Lineage: Eukaryota; Metazoa; Arthropoda; Insecta; Hymenoptera; Formicidae. The transcript is spliced from 2 exons. The record is from RefSeq and is a predicted model, not a curated record.
GAUAACGAUUAAGUAACGAUGAUACGAAUCACUCGCUUGAUAUUUGACUCUUAGCUUUGUGACGACGUAAAGACGACGGUCGUGCGACAAUCAUUAUGGUUUAACACCAACAGAAAUUCAUCCGAAAUUGUUAAAAGUGUAUAAGGAUGCAUCACCUUCACUUUCCACUGUGAAAAAAUGGGCUGCUCUUUUUAAAUCUGUACAAGCCUCGAAGAUGAUCCACGCAAAGGUUGUCGGCAAAAACUGCUACAACACCACAAAACAUUCAAUAAGUCCAUGAUAUGGUGUUAGAUGAUCGGCGAGUGAAAAUGCGUGAAAUAGCUGAGGCCAUAGGCAUCUC